Chroicocephalus ridibundus (black-headed gull) is the source of this 1624-nucleotide long non-coding RNA. RefSeq lists it as uncharacterized. The transcript has 3 exons. The record is from RefSeq and is a predicted model, not a curated record. NCBI's taxonomy places the organism in Eukaryota, Metazoa, Chordata, Aves, Charadriiformes, Laridae.
GGAACGGGACUAUGCAAGUAGGGGGGCGGGCGGCGGGGCUAUGGCCAGUGUGUGCGCGUCGUGGGCAGGCUGACCUGGGGCGCUCCGGAAGCGGAGGGUGCCGGGAGGAAAUGGCGGCCAGCUCGAAGUCGCAGUGGGGCGGCCCGCGUGGAAAGCGGGGCUCGGCGGGCGGGUGCUCGGUCUGGCCGGGCCCGCGGAGCCGCCGCGAGCACGUCGUGAGGCAUCUGGACCGCGUCAAGCUUCAAGGGAGUGUGCCCCGUCACUGCCACGUUUCGCCCCCAGCACAGGCUGCCUCCUCCACACCAGCUGUUCCCUGGGGGCCUGUGCCAUUGCCAUCCACGUCACAGGGGACACUAGCUCCUGCCAAAUGCUCUGGGAGCACCGGAGCCCGACAGAGCAUCUCAGCAAAGGAGAGAUGAGUGAGUGAGAGAGGAACCGAGCAGGGACCCCCUGGAUGCGGAGAGGAGGAUAAAGGAGCUGCGGAGCAGAGACCGACAGGGGCUUUGAUGGGACGAGAGAGGGGAAGGGAGAUGAAGUGCCACAAGGUGCCCUGGCGAUGGAGGAAGGUAUUUGCUCUAAAGCUUUAAAAAGAGGCAACUGACUGUAACAGGUUCCACCCCCCCACCCCCCUCCCCAAUAUUUAGACGGCGUGCUCUGAAGUACUUUAUUUCUGUCUGGCUUUCAGUGGCGCGUUUCCCCGGCAGCCCAGUGGCAUCUCUCUCGGGCAGUGCCACUGGCCAGAUGUCCCUCCUCAUUGCGUAACACACAGAAAACCUUGUAGUCCAAUUAUAACUAUAUACUUUGGAGAGGGAGAGUGUUAUGGUUUCAAUUCACAGCUGUGCAAGUGAAAUUAGUGCCAGAGCAAAGUCAAAUACUUUUAUAGCGUAAGUGUUUUUAUUUGGUGUAUAUAAACCUAACACUCACCUUUUCAACAAAAGGGAAGGGACAAGGCAUUUCCCAACACCAGUGAGAAGGUUUACUGUUGCACUAAGAACGUGUUCAAAAUGGUAGCAAUUAAACUUAAUCCUGACUUUAAGAGUUGAGCUGGCGCUGGCUUUUGCAGGCUGUGCUGUGUUUGGAGCUGAGCUGCGUCCCCAGAAUCCUCCUGUAGCUCAGCUCCUGUCCUGUCCCUCUGACAGAAUUCCUCUACUCCCUUCCGGGCUAUUUUUUAAAAUGCUGAGCUAUAAUUGGGGAUUUUUGUUUUCCAGGUGCCUCGUCGUAGGCGUCUCGUGCUGCUCGAGAGAUGCCCCAGCCCAGGUUUGCAGCUGGUGGCGGAGCCCCCCUGAGGGGAAGGGGCCAGCCCUGGGUCUGGGUGUUUUGGGCAUUUUUUUGGGGUGAAUAGAAGGAUGCCUGUUUGUCUCAGGGUUGCGAUGAUGUCAUUUGGGGUACCUCGACGUCAUUGGGGCAGUGAUGAUGCAGCGGAGGAGCAGGUGAGUGGGGACGUGGGGUUAUGUGAGGGUCUCCCAAAAGAGGUGGUUCACAGCCCCAAAACGUCUGAAAAUCUGGGGAUGCAUUAAAAAAGGUGAAAACCUGUAACUAUGGGCGUGAGGCAUUGAAAUAGAGAACAAUCUCUCAUUUAUAUAUGAGAAAAGUAUAUAUUGAGAAAUAAUAUUAUGUAUGUAAA